Manduca sexta (tobacco hornworm) is the source of this 911-nucleotide long non-coding RNA. RefSeq lists it as uncharacterized. The record is from RefSeq and is a predicted model, not a curated record. The transcript is spliced from 2 exons. NCBI's taxonomy places the organism in Eukaryota, Metazoa, Arthropoda, Insecta, Lepidoptera, Sphingidae.
GACUUAUGACCAUGGUAAUAAUUUCUGGAGCAAAGAGUUAGCCUCGAUGUUCCGUCUAUAACUAACUUUAUAAUGUCUUUGUAUUCAAUAUUUCAUGCUAAAGAUCAGUCUUUCUACACUAUUCUAAUGCUCUUACAUUUAUCCCGCAAAUCUCGAUAUUUGUGAUGGUUUUCAGACCGGGGGAGGUCCACGUACGUAGCGCAGCUGUGGGGUCAGGCUUUGAGCGAAGGAGUUGAGGGCAUCGCAGCACCUGGGCCGUUCGACGAGCCAGGCGGCCAGCAGGAGGGCGACCAGGCAUAGCUGGAUCGGGAGGGAAGAGCGCAGAACUCGCCACACCCAGCCUCCGCGGGGACUGUAGUCCGGGUCUCCGGGAUUCGUCUUGUUCCCGGCGACUGUUGCUAUGCUGUUAUCGCUGUUCGAAAAAAUGAUUCCGUUAGCUAUUAAAGUCAAUUCAAAUUAUCGUAAUAUUGUUAGUAGAUCUAAACAAAAAUGGUUUUAAAAUACAGGAUGUUCCAAAAAAGGGAUAUCUAAACUCAAAUAACAUUUUAUGAGAAUAAAUAUUUUUGUCUUACGUGUCCUCGUCGAUCUUAAGAUCUGGAAUGCUUUGCUCGACGAGAGCGCGACACGACUCCUGCAGUAUGCGGACUUCGUUCUCCGUCUGCUCCAUGCGCUGCAAAAGCGGAUUUGUCAUUAAUGAAAUAGUUUUAAAACUUCAUGUCGAAUCGAAUCCUAUGCCUAAGCUCAAUAACUUUAACACCAUUUAACUCUACAUUAACUUUUAACCUUCCAACACAGGCUCUUGUCUACCCGGACAGGCCACAGUAUGUAUCCACGGUCAAUCUGCACAUCAUACGUCGCUACCUUUAAUUCUAUAGAAUAAAGCUUGACCUUAUGUGCAUCUAGCACUUAAA